RNAcentral lists this transfer RNA (74 nucleotides) under Endomicrobium proavitum. It matches the Rfam family "tRNA". Rfam says of the family: Transfer RNA (tRNA) molecules are approximately 80 nucleotides in length. Their secondary structure includes four short double-helical elements and three loops (D, anti-codon, and T loops). Further hydrogen bonds mediate the characteristic L-shaped molecular structure. tRNAs have two regions of fundamental functional importance: the anti-codon, which is responsible for specific mRNA codon recognition, and the 3' end, to which the tRNAs corresponding amino acid is attached (by aminoacyl-tRNA synthetases). tRNAs cope with the degeneracy of the genetic code in two manners: having more than one tRNA (with a specific anti-codon) for a particular amino acid; and 'wobble' base-pairing, i.e. permitting non-standard base-pairing at the 3rd anti-codon position. Lineage: Bacteria; Pseudomonadati; Elusimicrobiota; Endomicrobiia; Endomicrobiales; Endomicrobiaceae. The record is from Rfam by way of RNAcentral.
GCCCGGUUAGCUCAGUUGGUUAGAGUACUUCCUUGACAUGGAAGGGGUCAGAGGUUCAAAUCCUCUAUCGGGCA